CAGUAGCCACGGUAAUACAGAGGGUGCGAGCGUUAAUCGGAUUUACUGGGCGUAAAGCGUGCGUAGGCGGCUUCUUAAGUCGGAUGUGAAAUCCCUGAGCUUAACUUAGGAAUUGCAUUCGAUACUGGGAAGCUAGAGUAUGGGAGAGGAUGGUAGAAUUCCAGGUGUAGCGGUGAAAUGCGUAGAGAUCUGGAGGAAUACCGAUGGCGAAGGCAGCCAUCUGGCCUAAUACUGACGCUAAGGUACGAAAGCAUGGGGAGCAAACAGGAUUAGAUACCCCCGUAGUCCCUGUCUCUUAUAC
RNAcentral lists this ribosomal RNA (301 nucleotides) under uncultured bacterium. Its description in RNAcentral is "partial 16S ribosomal RNA". It matches the Rfam family "Bacterial small subunit ribosomal RNA", at positions 509 to 807 of the family's 1533-position model. The record is from RNAcentral.